AGAGUUUGAUCCUGGCUCAGGACGAACGCUGGCGGCGUGCCUAACACAUGCAAGUCGAACGGAGAUAAAGAUUUCGGUUUUUAUCUUAGUGGCGCACGGGUGAGUAACACGUGAAUAACCUGACCCAAAGAGGGGGAUAACACCUGGAAAACUGGGAUUAAUACCGCAUAGUAUCGAAAGAUUAAAGCAGCAAUGCGCUUGGGGAUGGGCUCGCGGCCUAUUAGUUAGUUGGUGAGGUAACGGCUCACCAAGGCGAUGACGGGUAGCCGGUCUGAGAGGAUGUCCGGCCACACUGGAACUGAGACGCGGUCCAGACACCUACGGGUGGCAGCAGUCGAGAAUCAUUCACAAUGGGGGAAACCCUGAUGGUGUGACGCCGCGUGGGGGAAUGAAGGUCUUCGGAUUGUAAACCCCUGUCAUGUGGGAGCAAAUUAAAAAGAUAGUACCACAAGAGGAAGAGACGGCUAACUCUGUGCCAGCAGCCGCGGUAAUACAGAGGUCUCAAGCGUUGUUCGGAAUCACUGGGCGUAAAGCGUGCGUAGGCUGUUUCGUAAGUCGUGUGUGAAAGGCGCGGGCUCAACCCGCGGACGGCACAUGAUACUGCGAGACUAGAGUAAUGGAGGGGGAACCGGAAUUCUCGGUGUAGCAGUGAAAUGCGUAGAUAUCGAGAGGAACACUCGUGGCGAAGGCGGGUUCCUGGACAUUAACUGACGCUGAGGCACGAAGGCCAGGGGAGCGAAAGGGAUUAGAUACCCCUGUAGUCCUGGCAGUAAACGGUGCACGCUUGGUAUGCGGGGAAUCGACCCCCUGCGUGGCCGGAGCUAACGCGUUAAGCGUGCCGCCUGGGGAGUACGGUCGCAAGAUUAAAACUCAAAGAAAUUGACGGGGACCCGCACAAGCGGUGGAGUAAGUGGCUUAAUUUGAUGCAGCGCGAAGAACCUUAUCUGGGCUUGACAUGUAAUGAUCAACAUGUGAAAGCAUGAGACUCUUCGGAGGCGUUACACAGGUGCUGCAUGGCCGUCGUCAGCUCGUGUCGUGAGAUGUUUGGUUAAGUCCAGCAACGAGCGCAACCCCUGUUGCCAGUUACCAGCACGUGAAGGUGGGGACUCUGGCGAGACUGCCCAGAUCAACUGGGAGGAAGGUGGGGACGACGUCAGGUCAGUAUGGCCCUUAUGCCCAGGGCUGCACACGUACUACAAUGCCCAGUACAGAGGGGGCCGAAGCCGCGAGGCGGAGGAAAUCCUGAAAACUGGGCCCAGUUCGGACUGUAGGCUGCAACCCGCCUACACGAAGCCGGAAUCGCUAGUAACGGCGCAUCAGCUACGGCGCCGUGAAUAAGUUCCCGGGUCUUGCACACACCGCCCGUCA
RNAcentral lists this ribosomal RNA (1368 nucleotides) under uncultured bacterium. Its description in RNAcentral is "bacterial SSU rRNA". It matches the Rfam family "Bacterial small subunit ribosomal RNA". The record is from RNAcentral.